RNAcentral lists this transfer RNA (74 nucleotides) under Rickettsiales bacterium TMED211. RNAcentral describes it as "tRNA-Thr". It matches the Rfam family "tRNA". Rfam says of the family: Transfer RNA (tRNA) molecules are approximately 80 nucleotides in length. Their secondary structure includes four short double-helical elements and three loops (D, anti-codon, and T loops). Lineage: Bacteria; Pseudomonadati; Pseudomonadota; Alphaproteobacteria; Rickettsiales. The record is from RNAcentral. RNAcentral also lists the same sequence under 1 other name.
GCCGGUAUAGUUAAACGGUAUAACAGUUGCCUUGUAAGCAUCAAUUCUAGGUUCGAUUCCUUGUACCGGCACCA